GACCCGGUGGUGAAAAUGUUAUCACAACCCGCUCCUGUUAUGGGCGCAUUCGGGUUCAGGUGGGAGUCCCUUGUUCGAAUCAAGGCCGGGUCA
Molecule: non-coding RNA, 93 nt
Organism: Mycena rebaudengoi
Lineage: Eukaryota; Fungi; Basidiomycota; Agaricomycetes; Agaricales; Mycenaceae
Source: the annotation of a GenBank genome assembly